This 444-nucleotide ribosomal RNA is filed under the name Salmonella enterica. Its description in RNAcentral is "partial 23S ribosomal RNA". It matches the Rfam family "Bacterial large subunit ribosomal RNA", at positions 810 to 1251 of the family's 2925-position model. The record is from RNAcentral. RNAcentral also lists the same sequence under 1 other name. Lineage: Bacteria; Pseudomonadati; Pseudomonadota; Gammaproteobacteria; Enterobacterales; Enterobacteriaceae.
UGUGGCUGGGGGUGAAAGGCCAAUCAAACCGGGAGAUAGCUGGUUCUCCCCGAAAGCUAUUUAGGUAGCGCCUCGUGAAUUCAUCUCCGGGGGUAGAGCACUGUUUCGGCUAGGGGGCCAUCCCGGCUUACCAACCCGAUGCAAACUGCGAAUACCGGAGAAUGUUAUCACGGGAGACACACGGCGGGUGCUAACGUCCGUCGUGAAGAGGGAAACAACCCAGACCGCCAGCUAAGGUCCCAAAGUCAUGGUUAAGUGGGAAACGAUGUGGGAAGGCCCAGACAGCCAGGAUGUUGGCUUAGAAGCAGCCAUCAUUUAAAGAAAGCGUAAUAGCUCACUGGUCGAGUCGGCCUGCGCGGAAGAUGUAACGGGGCUAAACCAUGCACCGAAGCUGCGGCAGCGACGCUGAUGCGUUGUUGGGUAGGGGAGCGUUCUGUAAGCCUG